UAUCGGAUUCCGGCGUGGAAGAGAAAUUCUCCAAGCCAUGUCUCCGAAGUCACGAAGAGGCGACGGAUGGCCUGGAUUGCCGCUAUCAGAAGACCUAAUAUAACGUUCGAAAACACUCCACCUCACAUGUUAGUCUGCUCCAAGCAUUUCCACAACGGCAAACCAGCCUACGAAAUGCUGGAAUGCGAUCCAGACUGGGCACCCUCUCUCUCAAACUGGGCCACACAGAAGUUAAAGCUUCUACCACUGCUAGAUUUGAUCGGUUAAAACAGAGAUCGAAAUCAAAACAGCCACGAAAAGGCCCGCGUUCCUCUGGGGCAGAGACAGCUCAUGCAGGUGAAAUCCAUCCAGCACCAGUCACUACGGAAACUACAGCUGAGAGCCAACCACAGCAGAUAAAUCCAAAGCACCAGGAUGAAGAUCUGCAGGAGUGUAAAAUGUGUUCUCAAAGGUUACAAGAAAUAGCACACCUUCAAGAAGAAAACCUAGUGUAAAAAAAAGAACUGU
Molecule: long non-coding RNA, 507 nt
Organism: Oreochromis aureus
Lineage: Eukaryota; Metazoa; Chordata; Actinopteri; Cichliformes; Cichlidae
Exons: 3
Source: RefSeq, a predicted model, not a curated record